Long non-coding RNA from Polypterus senegalus (gray bichir), 744 nucleotides. RefSeq lists it as uncharacterized. The transcript is spliced from 3 exons. The record is from RefSeq and is a predicted model, not a curated record. Lineage: Eukaryota; Metazoa; Chordata; Cladistia; Polypteriformes; Polypteridae.
GGCUUCACUGAUGAUUCCAUUCUUCCAUUUUCUGUAUUUUUUGUCUCCUUCUAGUUAACCAACUUGAGAUCUACUUUUGUAGGUUACCUCCGAUGCCCACAGCUUCUAGUUUCAGAAUUAAUCUUCAGUGUGGAACCAUAGCAAAGGCUUUCUAAAAAGUCUAAAAAGAACAGCCUCUGGGGAGCUUCCUUCGACCAAAACAGAUGUGUUGACCGCUCAUGUUAAAAAUGCUUCAAAUGAUGGUGUCCAGGAACUCCUUGACUUCUACAAACUGGCCACUGAAGUAUAAAAAGAAAUCUUCACUUUUUAAUUUCAGUCUUUUGGAGCCUUUCAUGACAAGGAUCAACAGAACACUCAGCCCCUACAGUGACAUAUAGUCAGAAAUGACACAGCUGGUCCUGCCCUUUGGUCUUUUCUGCAUGACUAAUUCUUAGUUUACUGUCUCCAAGACAUUUUUUCUUGUUGGAUUUGCUGUACCUCAUUUGUUGGUCCACACAGGCUUUUCCACAGGUCCACUAUGCAUUCAUUACUUUUUAUGAAUUUGAAUUUUUUUCUUACUGGGUCAGAGAGAUAUAAUUUAUCCCAACAGCACUGAGUGUAUGGUAGGAACUAACUUGGGUCAGGUCAACAGUACAUUGCAGGACACACUCAACCACACAGUGACACCAGCAAGUUUCUGGCCAAUUUAGAGUUGCUGGUAAUACUAACUAUAACAACAGUGACAAUUAUAUUAUUACUGUUAUU